AGAGUUUGAUCCUGGCUCAGAUUGAACGCUGGCGGCAGGCUUAACACAUGCAAGUCGAGCGGAAACGAAGGUAGCUUGCUACCAGGCGUCGAGCGGCGGACGGGUGAGUAAUGCUUAGGAAUCUACCGAGUAGUGGGGGAUAGCCAUUGGAAACGAUGAUUAAUACCGCAUAUAUCCUACGGGGGAAAGCAGGGGACCUUCGGGCCUUGCGCUAUUCGAUGAGCCUGAGUGAGAUUAGCUAGUUGGUGGGGUAAAGGCCUACCAAGGCGACGAUCUCUAGCUGGUCUGAGAGGAUGAUCAGCCACACUGGGACUGAGACACGGCCCAGACUCCUACGGGAGGCAGCAGUGGGGAAUAUUGCACAAUGGACGAAAGUCUGAUGCAGCCAUGCCGCGUGUGUGAAGAAGGCCUUCGGGUUGUAAAGCACUUUCAGCGAGGAGGAAAGGUCAGUAAGUAAUAUUUGCUGGCUGUGACGUUACUCGCAGAAGAAGCACCGGCUAAUUUAGUGCCAGCAGCCGCGGUAAUACUAAAGGUGCAAGCGUUAAUCGGAAUUACUGGGCGUAAAGCGCGCGUAGGUGGUUUGUUAAGUUGGAUGUGAAAGCCCAGGGCUCAACCUUGGAACUGCAUUCAAAACUGACUCACUAGAGUACGAGAGAGGUUAGUGGAAUUUCCUGUGUAGCGGUGAAAUGCGUAGAGAUGGGAAGGAACACCAGUGGCGAAGCGACUGACUGGCUCGAUACUGACACUGAGGUGC
This 754-nucleotide ribosomal RNA is filed under the name uncultured bacterium. Its description in RNAcentral is "bacterial SSU rRNA". It matches the Rfam family "Bacterial small subunit ribosomal RNA", at positions 8 to 754 of the family's 1533-position model. The record is from RNAcentral.